ACGCUCGACACCUACGGGAGACAGCAGUGGGGAAUAUUGCACAAUGGGGGAAACCCUGAUGCAGCGACGCCGCGUGAAGGAUGAAGUAUUUCGGUAUGUAAACUUCUAUCAGCAGGGAAGAAAGUGACGGUACCUGACUAAGAAGCCCCGGCUAACUACGUGCCAACAGCCGCGGUAAUCUGAGCGGGCUGGCAAGGC
Molecule: ribosomal RNA, 198 nt
Filed under: uncultured bacterium
Lineage: Bacteria
Description: partial 16S ribosomal RNA
Rfam family: Bacterial small subunit ribosomal RNA
Source: RNAcentral